UAUAUAUAUUUAUUGUUAUUGUUUCUUUCUACAGAGCCUUUCUAGGACCGUUUGUCGGUGGUGCAUUAAAUGAAAAACUGGGAUUUGAGUGGGCCUCUAUUGUCGGAUCUGGUUUUAUGGUUUUUUCCGGUACGUUGUUAUUAAUUCUAACUCUUAUUAAGAAGAAUUUCAUUUUACCAACACAGACUCAACUUGCUGAGGAAACUGUUGAGAAACCUGAAGAGGAAGUUUAAAUUGAAUGAUCUUUUUAAUUUAGACAAAGAA
Molecule: long non-coding RNA, 264 nt
Organism: Octopus sinensis (East Asian common octopus)
Lineage: Eukaryota; Metazoa; Mollusca; Cephalopoda; Octopoda; Octopodidae
Exons: 2
Source: RefSeq, a predicted model, not a curated record